This 776-nucleotide ribosomal RNA is filed under the name uncultured Neocallimastigales. Its description in RNAcentral is "partial large subunit ribosomal RNA". It matches the Rfam family "Eukaryotic large subunit ribosomal RNA", at positions 23 to 632 of the family's 3401-position model. The record is from RNAcentral. Lineage: Eukaryota; Fungi; Neocallimastigomycota; Neocallimastigomycetes; Neocallimastigales.
AGAGAGAGACAUGCGCGCAUAUCAAUAAGCGGAGGAAAAGAAACUAACUAGGAUUCCCUCAGUAACGGCGAGUGAAGCGGGAAGAGCUCAAAUUUGAAAUCUUCAAGGUUUUACCUUGACGAAUUGUAGUUUAAAGAAGUGUUUUCUGUUAGGGAGUUUGGUAAAAGUUCUUUGGAAUAGGACAUCAUAGAGGGUGAGAAUCCCGUAUUUGAUCAUUCUUUCUAGCUUUGUGAUACACUUUCAACGAGUCGGAUUGUUUGGGAAUGCAGUCCAAAAUGGGUGGUAAAUUUCAUCUAAAGCUAAAUAUUGGCGAGAGACCGAUAGCGAACAAGUACCGUGAGGGAAAGAUGAAAAGAACUUUGAAAAGAGAGUUAAACAGUACGUGAAAUUGUCAAAAGGGAAGCGUUUGACACCAGUGUUGUUUUUCCGAAAAUCAAUUAAGAAUGGCUGGAUUUUGUGUUGUAUUGACCUUAUAAGCUUUCUGCACUUUUUCUUGUCUUUUUAAUGCACUUUUCGGUUAACAAGUCAACAUCAAUUUCUUUUGUUGUAAAAGGUUAAUUGGAAGGUGGCUUUACUUUCGGAGUAAAGUGUUUAUAGCCUUGUAACUCUGCAAUCGGAGAGAUUGAGGUCUGCAGCGUAGAUCCUUCGGGGUUAGAUACAGUUUGUGCUAAGUUAUAGCUUUUCAUAGACAACUUGUUGACUAUGUUUAGUCUUGUAGCUUACUCGCUGACUGCUAUUUUACCUACGCUUAGGAUGUUGACAGCAGUAUAGACUGU